AGUGAACGCUGGCGGUAGGCCUAACACAUGCAAGUCGAACGGCAGCACAGUAAGAGCUUGCUCUUACGGGUGGCGAGUGGCGGACGGGUGAGGAAUACAUCGGAAUCUACUUUUUCGUGGGGGAUAACGUAGGGAAACUUACGCUAAUACCGCAUACGACCUACGGGUGAAAGCAGGGGAUCUUCGGACCUUGCGCGAUUGAAUGAGCCGAUGUCGGAUUAGCUAGUUGGCGGGGUAAAGGCCCACGAAGGCGACGAUCCGUAGCUGGUCUGAGAGGAUGAUCAGCCACACUGGAACUGAGACACGGUCCAGACUCCUACGGGAGGCAGCAGUGGGGAAUAUUGGACAAUGGGCGCAAGCCUGAUCCAGCCAUACCGCGUGGGUGAAGAAGGCCUUCGGGUUGUAAAGCCCUUUUGUUGGGAAAGAAAAGCAGCAGGUUAAUACCCCGCUGUUCUGACGGUACCCAAAGAAUAAGCACCGGCUAACUUCGUG
RNAcentral lists this ribosomal RNA (492 nucleotides) under uncultured bacterium. RNAcentral describes it as "partial 16S ribosomal RNA". It matches the Rfam family "Bacterial small subunit ribosomal RNA", at positions 29 to 507 of the family's 1533-position model. The record is from RNAcentral.